This 524-nucleotide ribosomal RNA is filed under the name uncultured Diversisporaceae. RNAcentral's name for it is "SSU rRNA". It matches the Rfam family "Eukaryotic small subunit ribosomal RNA", at positions 569 to 1092 of the family's 1831-position model. Lineage: Eukaryota; Fungi; Glomeromycota; Glomeromycetes; Diversisporales. The record is from RNAcentral.
AGCAGCCGCGGUAAUUCCAGCUCCAAUAGCGUAUAUUAAAGUUGUUGCAGUUAAAAAGCUCGUAGUUGAACUUCGGGGUUUACCCAUUGGUCAGGCUUAAUUGUCUGUACUGGUGAGAUAAAUCUCUACCUUCUGAGGAACUUUCAUGCCAUUUAUUUGGUGUGAUGGGAAAUCAGGACUGUUACUUUGAAAAAAUUAGAGUGUUUAAAGCAGGCUAACGUCUGAAUACAUUAGCAUGGAAUAAUGAAAUAGGACGGACUGAUUCUAUUUCGUUGGUUUCUAGGAUCACCGUAAUGAUUAAUAGGGAUAGUUGGGGGCAUUAGUAUUCAAUUGUCAGAGGUGAAAUUCUUGGAUUUAUUGAAGACUAACUACUGCGAAAGCAUUUGCCAAGGAUGUUUUCAUUAAUCAAGAACGAAAGUUAGGGGAUCGAAGACGAUCAGAUACCGUCGUAGUCUUAACCAUAAACUAUGCCGACUAGGGAUCGGACGAAGUUAAUUUUAUAAUGACGCGUUCGGCACCUUACG